CAAUAGCGUAUAUUAAAGUUGUUGCAGUUAAAAAGCUCGUAGUUGGAUUUCUGGCAGGAGCGACCGGUCACACACUCUGUGUGUGAACUUGUGUUGUCUCUGGCCAUCCUUGGGGAGAUCCUGUUUGGCAUUAAGUUGUCGGGCAGGGGACAUCCAUCGUUUACUGUGAAAAAAUUAGAGUGUUUAAAGCAGGCUUAUGCCGUUGAAUAUAUUAGCAUGGAAUAAUAAGAUAGGACUUCGGAACUAUUUUGUUGGUUUGCGUUACGAAGUAAUGAUUAAUAGGGACAGUUGGGGGUAUUCGUAUUUCGUUGUCAGAGGUGAAAUUCUUGGAUUUCCGAAAGACGAACUACUGCAAAAGCAUUUACCAAGGAUGUUUUCAUUAA
RNAcentral lists this ribosomal RNA (383 nucleotides) under uncultured eukaryote. Its description in RNAcentral is "partial 18S ribosomal RNA". It matches the Rfam family "Eukaryotic small subunit ribosomal RNA", at positions 592 to 976 of the family's 1831-position model. The record is from RNAcentral.